UACUUAGGGUGCGAGCGUUGUCCGGAAUUAUUGGGCGUAAAGAGCGUGUAGGCGGCCCGAUUAGUCCGCUGUGAAAGUCCAGGGCUCAACCCUGGAAUGCCGGUGGAUACUGUCGGGCUAGAGUCCGGAAGGGGCGAGUGGAAUUCCUGGUGUAGCGGUGAAAUGCGCAGAUAUCAGGAGGAACACCAAUGGCGAAGGCAGCUCGCUGGGACGUGACUGACGCUGAGACGCGAAAGCGUGGGGAGCAAACAGG
This 253-nucleotide ribosomal RNA is filed under the name uncultured bacterium. Its description in RNAcentral is "partial 16S ribosomal RNA". It matches the Rfam family "Bacterial small subunit ribosomal RNA", at positions 524 to 776 of the family's 1533-position model. The record is from RNAcentral.